AACGGCCGCGGUAUUUUGACCGUGCAAAGGUAGCAUAAUCAUUAGUCCUUUAAUAUGGGACUGGAAUGAAAGGUUUAACGAAGAAUUAACUGUCUCGAUUUAAUUUAUAUAAUUUAGCUUUUUAGUUAAAAGGCUUAAAUUUUGUUGGAAGACGAGAAGACCCUAUAGAGCUUUAUAUUUAAAUUUUGGAAAUUUAUUUUGUUUAAUUUGUUUUAUCUUUGAUUUAAUUUUUUUGUUGGGGUGACAUUAAAUAAAUAUUUAACUUUUAUUGUUUGGUAAACAUUAAUUUAUGAGCUUGUGAUCCAUUCUUAUUGAUCGUUAGUAUAAGUUACCUUAGGGAUAACAGCGUAAUCCUCUCUUGGAGUUCUUAUUUGCGGGGGGGCUUGCGACCUCGAUGUUGGAUUAAGAUAAUUAUUGGGCGUAGUAGCUUAAUUAAUGGGUCUGUUCGAC
This 450-nucleotide ribosomal RNA is filed under the name Cora cyane. RNAcentral describes it as "partial 16S ribosomal RNA". It matches the Rfam family "Bacterial large subunit ribosomal RNA", at positions 1926 to 2585 of the family's 2925-position model. The record is from RNAcentral. Lineage: Eukaryota; Metazoa; Arthropoda; Insecta; Odonata; Polythoridae.